GACGAACGCUGGCGGCGUGCUUAACACAUGCAAGUCGAGCGGAAAGGCCUCUUCGGGGGUACUCGAGCGGCGAACGGGUGAGUAACACGUGAGUAAUCUGCCCUUCACUCAGGGAUAACCUCCGGAAACGGUGGCUAAUACCUGAUCCGACGACAGGCCGCCUGGUGGGGGUGUGGAAAGUUUUGUCGGUGGGGGAGGUGCUCGCGGCCUAUCAGCUUGUUGGUGGGGUAAUGGCCUACCAAGGCUUCGACGGGUAGCCGGCCUGAGAGGGUGACCGGCCACACUGGGACUGAGACACGGCCCAGACUCCUACGGGAGGCAGCAGUGGGGAAUAUUGGACAAUGGGCGGAAGCCUGACCCAGCAACGCCGCGUGAGGGAUGACGGCCUUCGGGUUGUAAACCUCUUUCAGUACCGACGAAGCGAGAGUGACGGUAGGUACAGAAGAAGCACCGGCCAACUACGUGCCAGCCGCCGCAGUAA
This 481-nucleotide ribosomal RNA is filed under the name uncultured bacterium. RNAcentral describes it as "partial 16S ribosomal RNA". It matches the Rfam family "Bacterial small subunit ribosomal RNA", at positions 28 to 523 of the family's 1533-position model. The record is from RNAcentral.